This 537-nucleotide ribosomal RNA is filed under the name Polymorphanisus astictus. RNAcentral's name for it is "partial 28S ribosomal RNA". The record is from RNAcentral. Lineage: Eukaryota; Metazoa; Arthropoda; Insecta; Trichoptera; Hydropsychidae.
AUCAGGGGUAAACCUGUGGAACUCGAACGAACGAACGGGGAGAUUCACCGUAUUUCCGUUAAACAGGGUCCGCGAUGUGAUCCGUUCACCGCGAUCGUUGCGUUUCUCUAAACCGGAAACGUUUACGGUCGUGGCGGUCGCGUCGUUAUAAGGUACGGCCCGCGGAGUGCGUGCACUUCUCCCUCAGUAAAACACCGCGACCCGUUCGCGAUAAACCGGCGAUCGAACGCACCGUGCGGUUGUCCCGUUUCGAACUUAAAAAAUUCGGGACGGAGCCGCGGUGUCGCGAUCGCCUUCGGACGGUAAAAUACAAGGUUCACGUUCGCCGACGUGUACGGGAGAUUUUAUUUUUAAAAUUUUCCGUAUAAUAACGGCGUCCGUGUCGUGAACCGGACGAACCUCGUUCGGACCUCGACGUUUACGCGUCGUGGGUUCCGCGCGCGCAUAUUUAAAGUUUGUUCGUUCGCCGUGUCACGACGUCUCGGACGGAACGUGUCCCGGUCAGCGGUGGUUUUGUUUCGGGCACUCACAGGACCC